AGCAGCCGCGGUAAUUCCAGCUCCAAUAGCGUAUAUUAAAGUUGUUGCAGUUAAAAGCUCGUAGUUGAAUUUCGGGAUCAAUAUGUUGGUCGUGCCUCGGUACGUACUAGCAUAUUGGUUUCUCCUUUCUGAAGAACCAUGAUGUCAUUUAUUUGGUGUCGUGGGGAAUCAGGACUGUUACUUUGAGAAAAUUAGAGUGUUUAAAGCAGGCUCACGCUUGAAUACAUUAGCAUGGAAUAAUGAAAUAGGACGUUUGAUUCUAUUUUGUUGGUUUCUAGGAUCGACGUAAUGAUUAAUAGGGAUAGUUGGGGGCAUUAGUAUUCAAUUGUCAGAGGUGAAAUUCUUGGAUUUAUUGAAGACUAACUACUGCGAAAGCAUUUGCCAAGGAUGUUUUCAUUAAUCAAGAACGAAAGUUAGGGGAUCGAAGACGAUCAGAUACCGUCGUAGUCUUAACCAUAAACUAUGCCGACUAGGGAUCGGAUGAUGUUAAUUUUUAAUGUACUCUAUUCC
This 510-nucleotide unclassified non-coding RNA is filed under the name uncultured Glomus. RNAcentral's name for it is "SSU rRNA". It matches the Rfam family "Eukaryotic small subunit ribosomal RNA", at positions 569 to 1087 of the family's 1831-position model. Lineage: Eukaryota; Fungi; Glomeromycota; Glomeromycetes; Glomerales; Glomeraceae. The record is from RNAcentral.